CUUCAUUGAGUUAAGACUUGAACUUGAGUACUGGACUCAUUAGAAUGUGAACUAACCAGCCUUUUCUUUACAUUUACAGUCCCUGUGUCUGCUGUUCAGGAAAAUGCAGGAUCCAGUAUGCAGACUGCACAGCAAGUGUGCAGACAAAUCCCUGUGUCUGCUGUUCAGGAAAAUGCAAGAACAGAAGUUGCACCCACCAUACAAAUACAAUUCCAAAAUGCAAAGCAAACAAUAGAAGUUCAAAAACAGAAAAUCCUUCACCUGUAGGAUACGGUUAACUCUCUGACAGAGGAGAGAAAUUAUCUUCGUGCAAGACUUGAAGAUGGUAAGUUACCCUCCAGCCAGUCACAUUGUACCCUACAUGAAGCAACUUAAAGGGUUAGUUCACCCAAAAAUGAAAAUUCUGUCAUUAAUGACCCUUAUGUCGUUCUAAACCCGUAAGACCUCUGUUCAUCUUUAGACACAAAUUAAGAUAUUUUGGAUGUAAUCCGAGAACUUCCUGGUCCUCUAUAGACUGUAUAAUCAUCAGUUUAAUCAGUUUAUUGUCAACUAAAAAAAAAAUUAGUCUGGGAGAGCCCAAUGUAUGCAAUCACUUUCAGUGCUGU
This is a long non-coding RNA of Cyprinus carpio carpio, 605 nucleotides long. The record is from Ensembl. Lineage: Eukaryota; Metazoa; Chordata; Actinopteri; Cypriniformes; Cyprinidae.